CGACCGGCGCACGGGUGAGUAACACGUAUCCAACCUGCCGUCUACUCUUGGACAGCCUUCUGAAAGGAAGAUUAAUACAAGAUGGCAUCAUGAGUCCGCAUGUUCACAUGAUUAAAGGUAUUCCGGUAGACGAUGGGGAUGCGUUCCAUUAGAUAGUAGGCGGGGUAACGGGCCCACCUAGUCUUCGAUGGAUAGGGGUUCUGAGAGGAAGGUCCCCCACAUUGGAACUGAGACACGGUCCAAACUCCUACGGGAGGCAGCAUG
RNAcentral lists this ribosomal RNA (264 nucleotides) under uncultured bacterium. RNAcentral describes it as "partial 16S ribosomal RNA". It matches the Rfam family "Bacterial small subunit ribosomal RNA", at positions 92 to 353 of the family's 1533-position model. The record is from RNAcentral.